UCCCUGGUGGUCCAGGGGUUAAGACUCUGUGCUUCCAAUGCAGGGUCCUGGGUUCAAUCUCUGGCCAGGUAA
Molecule: transfer RNA, 72 nt
Filed under: Ovis aries (sheep)
Lineage: Eukaryota; Metazoa; Chordata; Mammalia; Artiodactyla; Bovidae
Rfam family: tRNA
About the family: Transfer RNA (tRNA) molecules are approximately 80 nucleotides in length. Their secondary structure includes four short double-helical elements and three loops (D, anti-codon, and T loops). Further hydrogen bonds mediate the characteristic L-shaped molecular structure. tRNAs have two regions of fundamental functional importance: the anti-codon, which is responsible for specific mRNA codon recognition, and the 3' end, to which the tRNAs corresponding amino acid is attached (by aminoacyl-tRNA synthetases). tRNAs cope with the degeneracy of the genetic code in two manners: having more than one tRNA (with a specific anti-codon) for a particular amino acid; and 'wobble' base-pairing, i.e. permitting non-standard base-pairing at the 3rd anti-codon position.
Source: Rfam by way of RNAcentral